AACGAACGCUGGCGGCAUGCCUAACACAUGCAAGUCGAACGAGAAAGUACCUUCGGGUGCGAGUACAGUGGCGCACGGGUGAGUAACACGUAGGUGACCUACCUUAUAGUGGGGGAUAACACAGAGAAAUUUGUGCUAAUACCGCAUACGAAACUUCGGUUUGAAAGAAUGCCUCUCCUUGGAAGCAUUUGCUAUAAGAUGGGCCUGCGGGACAUUAGCUUGUUGGUGGGGUAAUGGCCUACCAAGGCGACGAUGUCUAGCUGGUCUGAGAGGAUGAUCAGCCACACUGGAACUGAGACACGGUCCAGACUCCUACGGGAGGCAGCAGUGGGGAAUAUUGCGCAAUGGGGGAAACCCUGACGCAGCAAUGCCGCGUGAGUGAGGAAGGGUUUCGGCUCGUAAAGCUCUGUCAGAUGGGAAGAACUGCUUAGGGUCCAAUAGGCCUUAGGUUUGACGGUACCAUCAAAGGAAGCACCGGCUAACUUCG
Molecule: ribosomal RNA, 487 nt
Filed under: uncultured Bacteriovorax sp.
Lineage: Bacteria; Pseudomonadati; Bdellovibrionota; Bacteriovoracia; Bacteriovoracales; Bacteriovoracaceae
Description: bacterial SSU rRNA
Rfam family: Bacterial small subunit ribosomal RNA
Source: RNAcentral